GACGAACGCUGGCGGCAUGCCUAAUACAUGCAAGUCGAGCGAACAGAUGAAGUGCUUGCACUUCUGACGUUAGCGGCGAACGGGUGAGUAACACGUAAGGAAUCUACCUAUAAACGGAGGAUAACAUUCGGAAACGGGUGCUAAUACCGCAUAAUAUCUUCUUCCGCAUGGAAGAAGAUUGAAAGACGGCUCUGCUGUCACUUAUAGACGACCUUGCGGUGCAUUAGUUAGUUGGUGGGGUAACGGCCUACCAAGACGAUGAUGCAUAGCCGACCUGAGAGGGUGAUCGGCCACAUUGGGACUGAGACACGGCUCAAACUCCUACGGGAGGCAGCAGUAGGGAAUCUUCCGCAAUGGGCGAAAGCCUGACGGAGCAAUGCCGCGUGAGUGAAGAAGGCCUUCGGGUCGUAAAACUCUGUUAUAAGAGAAGAACAAAUUGUAGAGUAACUGCUACAGUCUUGACGGUAUCUUAUCAGAAAGCCACGGCUAACUACGUGCCAGCCGCCGCCGUAA
RNAcentral lists this ribosomal RNA (513 nucleotides) under uncultured bacterium. RNAcentral describes it as "partial 16S ribosomal RNA". It matches the Rfam family "Bacterial small subunit ribosomal RNA", at positions 28 to 523 of the family's 1533-position model. The record is from RNAcentral.